RNAcentral lists this unclassified non-coding RNA (387 nucleotides) under Hevea brasiliensis (rubber tree). The record is from RNAcentral. Lineage: Eukaryota; Viridiplantae; Streptophyta; Magnoliopsida; Malpighiales; Euphorbiaceae.
AAAAGGCUCUAUCUUCUUCCUUCUUCAAUUUCUUCAUCAAUCAAGAUUUUCAACAAUGGCGCAAACACUAGCAACUCCUGUACUUCCUUCUCUUUCCCUUAUCUGCAACACAUCUUCCAUCUCCAAGCACAGUUCCCUCUCUUUUUCUACUCCCACAUCUUUUCCAAAGACUGCAGGUUUGGUUAUAAAGUGUGUGCGUGUGGGAGGAGUGGAAGUUCCAAACAACAAAAGAGUUGAGUUCUCUUUGCAAUACAUUCAUGGAAUUGGCCGCACCACUGCACGCCAGAUUCUGGUAGACCUUCAAAUGGAGAACAAAGUGAUGAAAGACAUGUCGGAAGAGGAACUUAUCACUCUUCGUGAAGAAGUCUCUAAGUACAUGAUUGAAGG